This 77-nucleotide transfer RNA is filed under the name Candidatus Solibacter usitatus. RNAcentral describes it as "tRNA-Val". It matches the Rfam family "tRNA". From Rfam's summary of the family: Transfer RNA (tRNA) molecules are approximately 80 nucleotides in length. Their secondary structure includes four short double-helical elements and three loops (D, anti-codon, and T loops). The record is from RNAcentral. RNAcentral also lists the same sequence under 3 other names. Lineage: Bacteria; Pseudomonadati; Acidobacteriota; Terriglobia; Bryobacterales; Solibacteraceae.
GGGCGCUUAGCUCAGUUGGUUAGAGCGCCUGCCUUACAAGCAGGAGGUCGGGGGAUCGUGACCCUCAGCGCCCACCA